GGUCAGGGAUGAGCUCGCGGCCUAUCAGCUUGUUGGUGAGGUAAUGGCUCACCAAGGCGUCGACGGGUAGCCGGCCUGAGAGGGUGACCGGCCACACUGGGACUGAGACACGGCCCAGACUCCUACGGGAGGCAGCAGUGGGGAAUAUUGCACAAUGGGCGCAAGCCUGAUGCAGCAACGCCGCGUGAGGGAUGACGGCCUUCGGGUUGUAAACCUCUUUUAGCAGGGAAGAAGCGAAAGUGACGGUACCUGCAGAAAAAGCGCCGGCUAACUACGUGCCAGCAGCCGCGGUAAUACGUAGGGCGCAAGCGUCAUCCGGAAUUAUUGGGCGUAAAGAGCUCGUAGGCGGUUUGUCGCGUCUGCUGUGAAAUCCCGAGGCUCAACCUCGGGUCUGCAGUGGGUACGGGCAGACUAGAGUGCGGUAGGGGAGAUUGGAAUUCCUGGUGUAGCGGUGGAAUGCGCAGAUAUCAGGAGGAACACCGAUGGCGAAGGCAGAUCUCUGGGCCGUAACUGACGCUGAGGAGCGAAAGGGUGGGGAGCAAACAGGCUUAGAUACCCUGGUAGUCCACCCCGUAAACGUUGGGAACUAGUUGUGGGGUCCAUUCCACGGAUUCCGUGACGCAGC
RNAcentral lists this ribosomal RNA (625 nucleotides) under Microbacterium sp. Its description in RNAcentral is "bacterial SSU rRNA". It matches the Rfam family "Bacterial small subunit ribosomal RNA", at positions 217 to 852 of the family's 1533-position model. Lineage: Bacteria; Bacillati; Actinomycetota; Actinomycetes; Micrococcales; Microbacteriaceae. The record is from RNAcentral.